UCAAAAAUCUAUUUGGGGGCUUGCUUUCUCUUUUUUGCUUUUUAAUAAAGAAACCCCAUUCCUUCCUUGUAGUAUACAAGGAGUUAGCCUUCAUUCUCCAUCCUAGCCUGACCAGAUUUUCCAUGUUGUUUUGUUCAAAUAGAUAAUUAUAUGUCCUUUGUGUGUUGGAACUUGUCCCUGUCUUUUGGGAAACUUGGUCUUACUAUUUCUGUGGUGGCUGUUUUGUUUUGUUUUUGUAUGUGAAUGUUUGAAACUAUGGUGCUGUGUCCACUUUCCUCCUAUUGUGUUCUUUAUUCUUGUUAAGGUGUUAGGUAAGCUGUAUGGAAAUGUUUAUUAGAAGGGGACUAAUUAUUUUUAAAAGAAAAAAAAAACCUAAAAGUAGUGUUUGGUCUUCACUAUUCUGUGUCCCUUAUUUUGGUUAAAAAUCUGUGGUUUGACUUAAUUCAUCAGUUUUCUUUUUCAAAGGGAGGAGCAAGGUGGGCCUAGAGAACAGUUUAUAAUCUCCUUUUUCCUUUAUGCCCCAAUCUCUUUUGAAGAAAUGUCUUCUAGUAACUAGAAGUGAAAUGUACUGUCCAGUUACAGUUUGAGUGGGUAUGAGAUUUAACUCAAAAGGCAUCUUACUUAAAAAAAAAAAAAAAAAAAAAAAAGCAAAAGCUUUUCUAUAAAACCCAGUUUCCAUAAAUGCUUUCUGUAUGGUUCAGACUACCUAAUUUUUAGUCCUUCUUCCCUUAAUAUUAUAAAACAUUUUUAGUGUUUUGACCUGUUAAGAGGUUCAUAAGCGUUGCUGUGCAUGAUCUCAUCUUAAGUGUGUAUAUGAUUUAAGAUUUCAGUGGAUAUUGCAAGGUAACUAUCAACCAAUUUCAUAAGUUUUCAUUUUGCCAAUCUAUAUAAAGAAACUCUUAUUCAGUUAAGAAUUUCAUCUGGUUGAUGUUAUAAAAGGAGGCACAAUAUUUUUUGUCUUUUCAUCUUCUCUGUAAAGAUCUUCAGAUACAUGUGGGUUAAAAAUUGAAUGCAGUUUUAAGUGAUGGCUGCCUGGGUGGAAUACAUUUUUUAAAUAUUUUAUUUUUUCUUCCUAGUCACCCAUUAACUUUAUUCAGCCAUCAGUGGAAGGGCAUGAAUAUGCUGAGACAGAUGGCUAAGGUACUCUGCUUCCUAGAGUAUGGUGGAUGAAUAUAGGUGACUGUUUAGGGAAUCACUCAUGUCCUUAAUAUGGUAUUUUACCUGCUGGAGAUGUGAGAGAAAGAGAUGCAAGGCACUCUCCAGCCAUGAGUAGCUCCCUGUUUACCUUCUGGUAUUUUGAAACUUAUAUUGUUUAGUUGAUACUAUGGGCUUUUCUGUAUUUAUUUGAAAGUCACAGAGGAUUUGGUCUGACUUGACCAUAGAUUUAGACCAAGGCUGAGAAGAACAGAUAAGAGAAAUUAGUUUUAAAAAAAGAAAGAAAGAAAAAUGAACAUAAACAAGGUUAUAAUUUUGGAAUUAAUGAACUAAGAUUCAUCUAUUUAAAGAUAUGCUGGUGUUCUGAUAUAAUAUAAAACAUUGUUUUCAGUUAGAGGAAAUUACUUCCAACGUACUCCAUUUUUCAAUGUUAUAAUAUUUCAUAUUAAAACUUGAUUUAAAAUGUUCCUUUACCCUUCUCUCCACAGUUGUACAUUUCCACCAUUGGUAUUUUAACUUCUGUGUUCACUCUGUCAAAAGUAUUUCUUACUACCUUCAUCAUAACUGUGUUGGGGAAAGUUAUAGAAAGAAAAAUGAAAAAAUGCUAUCUAUGUAGGUCUUUAAUAUUCUCAAAGGGUAGGUCAAUGGAACUAUGCAAAUUCCCAAGUUUACAACUAUAGCAUUAGAGUUCACUUUCUUGUUGGCAGAAGAGGGGACAUUUUCUUCCCACAAAUGUUUAUUUUACUUCCUGA
Molecule: long non-coding RNA, 1907 nt
Filed under: Canis lupus familiaris (dog)
Lineage: Eukaryota; Metazoa; Chordata; Mammalia; Carnivora; Canidae
Description: lncRNA (ENSCAFG00845027256.1)
Source: RNAcentral